UCAGCAGUGAUGUAACUUCCGGGUUACCAUGAGAGGCACCAGUGACCGCAAAGUUUUUGUACCGUGGAAUCUAGACGUGUGCGUAAAGUCUUGUUGGCGUAGCAUUCGACGGUUUCGACGUAGUCUGCUGUUAUAAAAAUGACGGAGCAUUAAGAGGCGACUGUUUAGGUCUAAUGAGGAAAAAAUAAUAUUUCACUACACAAUGCCAUGGCUCUGAGGUCCAUCGCUCUGGAUCGAGAGUCCAGAUUGGAAAUCGUACGAAUUUGAUGUGAAUGGUCCUGAACCCAUUUUUUACGAUUUGGUACCGGAUAAAAAGCUACCUCGUCCGAUGGAGUCUGCUUCAAACAUUAAGCAAAGUAUAAUUUCCAGAGUGAUUGAGGCAGAAGAGCUUCCCUCGUCAGAAAAUAGGAAACCCGUCCCAUAUCUCAUGUGGGACUCCCUCAACGCUUUCAUCAACUACACAGACAUGUACAAAGUAAGAAAACGGCGUGCGCAUCUGUGUUUGGAAAACGAAUCGACAGACACUCUGCAGAAUAGAAACCAGCCGGAAGAAAAAGAAGUGUUUCCGCCCUCUAUAUCGACAACCAUGAAAACUGGUUGUGACCGUAGGCCGACGAGGCCGCUCUCUUUUUCGGAAGCAUUAGCAUCUAGUUGUGAGAGUGCCAACCACACGAAUGCUAACGACAAUAGAAAGGAAUUUCACAAUAAUGAGUGAUAACUAAAUCAAGAGUAAACGAAAAAGAGGGAAUGGGGUAUUUAAUCAUGUGAAAUAAAAUGUAUUAGAAUAAAUACUAUGUAUUAAAAUCUGAUGAUAAUAUAUAGGUACCUAUAGAUGGAAACCUAUAUUUUUAAGCAAUUUAAAAUUUGUUUUAUUUUAUAUGUUUUACUUUAAAUCAUUAGCAACGAUAUAUUAAUAUUAGGGCCUACUGUAUCUAUUAAUUAUAUGUGGCGUAAAUGUAUUGCACUGACUGACAGACAGUAGGCCUAUAAAUCAUGUUCACGCCAUACUUCUCAUCAUUGAUUGAUAAUUAAAUGUUUCGUAUCUAUUAUGUAAAUGCAAAUCUUAUUGUAAGGCAUUUUAAACUGAAUAAAUGAAGACAGAAAUAUUGUUGUUUCUCCAAUAUGUAAAUGAUUUAACUUAUGUUAGUAAAUCAUUAAAACUGGUAAGGUUUGCUGAUGAUACCAGUAUAAUAACGAAAGCUUACGCCAAACGUACAAUGUUAUGGAAAGUGAACUUUCAAAAUUGUCUAAAUGGCCAACAAAUUAACAGUUAAUAUUUAAAAAAACGAAGUAUGUUAUUUUUAGAAAGAAAUAAACCGUAUAAACUAUCACCAUAUAAUUUUAAUCAAACAGAUGUUGCAAAGUUCCCUGGAGUAUUUGAUUGUCACUUUGUUCACCAUAAUUUUUUUUCUCUUAUGGGAGGACAUUUCAAAAAUUCAACUUCAGUGGAAAUUUUCAAGAAGUCUCUUAAAAAAAAGCAUAUUUUUGAAACAUAUUUUUCGCCGUUCGUUUAGGUGUUUAGCCACUCAGCAAACUUGCUCUCACAUCUUAUUUACUUAUUAAAUUGUAGGAUAGGCUAGCUAGAUUUUCACUAAAGCUCCUGUGAAUAUUGUUCCAGCGAGCCCCUAACUUUAGGGGCUUCAAAAUGCUGGAGUACGGAGCAGUGGAAAUGAUUCUUCUUUUUCGUUAUUAGUUUUUUUUUUUUUAUAGUAUUAGGAUGUUUCAUGGUUAUGUUUCUUCUUUUUUUUUUAAUGCAAUGUGCAAAGGGGCAACUUUCUUGUAUUAUGUGCUAUAUAAGACUAUUAUUAUUAUUAUUAUUAUUAUUAUUAUUAUUAUUAUUAUUACAUGUAUACAUAUACAAAAAUACAUACAUGCAUAUAUACAUACACAUUAAAUAAACAUUAACACAUAAGAAAAUUAGGUUUACAAAACAUAAUGUUUAUAUUAUUACAAUUACGUACGUCGACAACCUUCAGGCUGACGGUACAAUUAUGCAUGUACACUUUACAGUUUCAUUUUUUGAGUACCGAUGAUUUCAAUAAAAUAGGAAUAAACAUAGUUAUAAUACACAUAUAUAUAAAACAAGGUGUAUCUGUAUAUAAAAAUACAACCAGUAAAGGCCUAAUUAAAACAAUUAUUAAUUGUAUAUAAAUUUAAUGAAUAAUAGUUCACCAUAGUUCUAACAUUGCUAAAUAUAUUUCAAAAACCGUUGGUGUCAUUUAAAGAUUUAAAAAGUUUCUUCCUACCAAUAUAUUAAUUACAAUUUGCAAUUCGUUUAUACUUCCACACCUAAAUUAUGCAGUAACAUCAUUCUGCACCCCUCGAGUAGUAUAUAUACAUAAAUGUAUACGUAUAUACAUAUAUGUAUAUAUAUAUUUAU
RNAcentral lists this long non-coding RNA (2380 nucleotides) under Anneissia japonica. RNAcentral's name for it is "uncharacterized LOC117106499". The record is from RNAcentral. Lineage: Eukaryota; Metazoa; Echinodermata; Crinoidea; Comatulida; Comatulidae.